This 457-nucleotide ribosomal RNA is filed under the name uncultured Sinobacteraceae bacterium. RNAcentral's name for it is "bacterial SSU rRNA". It matches the Rfam family "Bacterial small subunit ribosomal RNA", at positions 926 to 1382 of the family's 1533-position model. Lineage: Bacteria; Pseudomonadati; Pseudomonadota; Gammaproteobacteria; Nevskiales; Nevskiaceae. The record is from RNAcentral.
CAAGCGGUGGAGCAUGUGGUUUAAUUCGAUGCAACGCGAAGAACCUUACCUGGUCUUGACAUCCCAGGAAUCCUGCAGAGAUGCGGGAGUGCCUUCGGGAACCUGGAGACAGGUGCUGCAUGGCGUGUCGUCAGCUCGUGUCGUGAGAUGUUGGGUUAAGUCCCGCAACGAGCGCAACCCUUGCCCUUAGUUGCCAUCAUUUGGUUGGGAACUCUAAGGGGACCGCCGGUGACAAACCGGAGGAAGGUGGGGAUGACGUCAAGUCAUCAUGGCCCUUAUGACCAGGGCUACACACGUGCUACAAUGGUCGGUACAGAGGGUCGCCAACCCGCGAGGGGGAGCCAAUCCCAUAAAGCCGAUCAUAGUCCGGAUCGCAGUCUGCAACUCGACUGCGUGAAGUCGGAAUCGCUAGUAAUCGCGAAUCAGCCAUGUCGCGGUGAAUACGUUCCCGGGUCUU